This 207-nucleotide unclassified non-coding RNA is filed under the name Hevea brasiliensis (rubber tree). The record is from RNAcentral. Lineage: Eukaryota; Viridiplantae; Streptophyta; Magnoliopsida; Malpighiales; Euphorbiaceae.
AUGUAUGUAUUUUCCUGAAAGCAUGUGGGGAGAUAAGCUCGAUCUAAUGGAACAUGGACGCAGAACACUGGCUGGUCUUUGUAUAUUGGACAAUUCUGCAGUUUCAGCCUAUAUCUUUAGCAUUUAGUUGUAUUAGCUAGGCAUGGAUCACGAUCCUUCCUAUUUAAGUUUGUACAUGCCGACUUAAUUUAGUUUGAUUGAGAUUUG